UGACGAGCACAUUUCUUUUACCACAUCCAAAAUUGGCUCCCUUAUAGAUGUGAACCAGUCCAAGGAUCCCGAAGGUUUGCGAGUGUUUUAUUACCUGGUCCAGGACCUGAAGUGUUUGGUCUUCAGCCUUAUCGGCUUGCAUUUCAAGAUUAAGCCUAUCUAGGCUGGGGCGUUUCACUUUUUCUGUGUGCUUGGGUGUGUGGUGUUUCAGUCCUAAUGUCAGAAGACUUUUGUGUAAACUAGGAAAGUAUUUUUUUACAUGCUGUCUAAGUGAUUGUCUUUAAUAAAGAUGUAGGCCA
Phascolarctos cinereus (koala) is the source of this 299-nucleotide long non-coding RNA. RefSeq lists it as uncharacterized. The record is from RefSeq and is a predicted model, not a curated record. NCBI's taxonomy places the organism in Eukaryota, Metazoa, Chordata, Mammalia, Diprotodontia, Phascolarctidae.